RNAcentral lists this ribosomal RNA (492 nucleotides) under uncultured bacterium. RNAcentral describes it as "partial 16S ribosomal RNA". It matches the Rfam family "Bacterial small subunit ribosomal RNA", at positions 29 to 507 of the family's 1533-position model. The record is from RNAcentral.
AGUGAACGCUGGCGGUAGGCCUAACACAUGCAAGUCGAACGGCAGCACAGUAAGAGCUUGCUCUUACGGGUGGCGAGUGGCGGACGGGUGAGGAAUACAUCGGAAUCUACUUUUUCGUGGGGGAUAACGUAGGGAAACUUACGCUAAUACCGCAUACGACCUACGGGUGAAAGCAGGGGAUCUUCGGACCUUGCGCGAUUGAAUGAGCCGAUGUCGGAUUAGCUAGUUGGCGGGGUAAAGGCCCACCAAGGCGACGAUCCGUAGCUGGUCUGAGAGGAGGAUCAGCCACACUGGAACUGGGACACGGUCCAGACUCCUACGGGAGGCAGCAGUGGGGAAUAUUGGACAAUGGGCGCAAGCCUGAUCCAGCCAUACCGCGUGGGUGAAGAAGGCCUUCGGGUUGUAAAGCCCUUUUGUUGGGAAAGAAAAGCAGCAGGUUAAUACCCCGCUGUUCUGACGGUACCCAAAGAAUAAGCACCGGCUAACUUCGUG